GGAAGGGAAUCGCCUCCGGUGGGGCGGCCGGGCUUCAAACCCGGUUGGGGUCGUCAGACGGCUCCGGGUAGGUUCGACUCCUACUCUCUUCCGCCA
This 96-nucleotide transfer RNA is filed under the name Alphaproteobacteria bacterium. RNAcentral's name for it is "tRNA-Sec". It matches the Rfam family "Selenocysteine transfer RNA". The record is from RNAcentral. RNAcentral also lists the same sequence under 1 other name. Lineage: Bacteria; Pseudomonadati; Pseudomonadota; Alphaproteobacteria.